Molecule: ribosomal RNA, 301 nt
Filed under: uncultured bacterium
Lineage: Bacteria
Description: partial 16S ribosomal RNA
Rfam family: Bacterial small subunit ribosomal RNA
Source: RNAcentral
CAGUCGCCGCGGUAAUACGGAGGGGGCUAGCGUUGUUCGGAAUUACUGGGCGUAAAGCGCACGUAGGCGGCUUUGUAAGUCAGAGGUGAAAGCCUGGAGCUCAACUCCAGAAUUGCCUUUGAGACUGCAUCGCUUGAACGUCGGAGAGGUGAGUGGAAUUCCGAGUGUAGAGGUGAAAUUCGUAGAUAUUCGGAAGAACACCAGUGGCGAAGGCGGCUCACUGGACGACUGUUGACGCUGAGGUGCGAAAGCGUGGGGAGCAAACAGGAUUAGAUACCCGUGUAGUCCCUGUUUCUUAUAC